UUCCUGUGUAUCUGAGGCCUUCUGGAGAUUAUCAGGCUUUCCUGGUCCAGACAAGUAUUAGGGGAGAAAUUGUUCUCUCAAAACUGGUAACAAAAUCUGCCAGUCGUGUGCAUGGCACCUCUUGUGCUGCUGAGCAAAAUGUGAAGAGGGAGAGGCCGCUGCUCGUAACUGAGCGGGUAAAGGCUGGAGCAACAGGCGGCUUCACCUGAGCGCGUUUGACUUGAGACCAAGGGUGCACUGCGUUACUAUGUGUAACUGUAACUUGGGAAUUAAGUUUCUAGUGCCGGGAACUAAAUGUUUACAGAGCAACAUGGGGACUUGCUACAACACUGAAACAUGUAUCUUAGGCUCUGACACGGACAGCUUUUUUUUUUUUUUCCUGCAAUACAUCAGUGAGAAUUUUGUCUCUGUGGUUCUUAUUGAUCCGAGUUCGAUUUGGAAGCCUGCAAGCAUUCAGGGGAUCGUUUGAAGUACUUAAAAUGUGAAGAGCACUCUACGUGCCUCGAAACAGCCAAAUCAUUUUCUUUAUCACAAGUGUCAAUUCUCCCAUCUCCUCCGGGAGUAAUGAAGGCAUGCAUUCACUCACAAUUUGUCUGGGCCAAGUGCCAGCGAGAAGUUCUAGGAACUGUAACAACAAAGUGCUGGGGCUCCUCAAGGGGAAAAAAGAUCUGGAAAUGAACAAGCUGCAUCCGAUUGCGAAAGGUGAAGAAAUCUCAUUGAAUGCUGAGAGAUCCACUAUUGAUGAGAGCUGCACCUGAGCAGGCAGAGCGGCGUGCUGCUGGUUGGAGCACCUGCUGUAGCUUUUCUGGGGCACUGUGUCAGUUGUGCCUCUCUCUGAAAGGCUUUCAGAUCCACCUGUCACACUCGCUAACUGGUUGGCACAUUUUUGACCUUUAGGGUUCCCCUUCACUCAGGCCCUUUCUACCCGGAUGACUGGAUAACUGGUGGGACAAUCAAGUGAGAAAUACUGUGCAAAUUCAGCCCUGAUCCACGGUGAGGAGCAGAAUCUUUUCCAACUAUCUGAAGGCUUUUGGGGUGUUGCUAGUGCUGCUUUAACUCAGAUUUCUGGGACGCUCUGAGGCAUAAAGAUGUCUGUCAAAAUUCAUCGCUUCUUCCCUUUGUUUAAAGAAGGAGAAAUAAGUCUGACUCAGACGUUGUCGAUGAGUUGUAUGAGAAGGUCGAGAUUGAUAGCAGUUGUAAAGAAGACAGAACCGCUUUAAAAGCUCAUCCCUUCCUGGUGAUAAAGAAUAUGAUCUCAGUUAUUUUUCCCUUUUACGGACCUGUUUUAAGUGAAGUUUUUUCUUGCAUGCGGUUUUACAUUGGCAAUAAAAAAUAGUUCCUCUUUUGGGUAAGCUUUGAUCCGUAGACUCUGACAACCCAGCAGUCGAGGCUGUGUUUCUUCAUCCACAGCCUUAUGAUUUACACAGCACCAAGAGCUGUACAUGUGCAGUGCACAGCAAGAACGACAUCCCACACCCGUUUACUGCAUAAAAAUUACGUUGCGGUGAGAAGACAACGGGGUUCCCCAUGAGGAGUUGGAAAGCCAUCCUAACGGCUGCUGAGCAGGGUUUUGUUCAGAGCUGGCUCUAUGAAGACUUUUAAACUGCUUCAGAUAAUUUAUACUCUUCACAUUUCAGCCGUGAAAAGCAGAGCUCUCAGAUGUUCCUCCGCCCCCAGGCAGCCACGGCGUACCUUGGUUUUCUAGCAACUGACUGUGUAUAUUAAAAUGGGUUUGGGCUUAGGUAGUCUGCUAGGGGCUGGGUCCCCUGAAACUCCUACGUAGCAGCUCAAUUCAGAGUACUGUGGAGAUGUCUGUUAGUGCUAGAUCAGUGCUUGGUGCUCUGUGGAUAAUGGCCCUGUACAAAGGCGGCGUGGUGGAUGAAAGUCCCAUCGUGCUCCUUCUGGUACUAAACGCUCUCUGAUACUUUUACUGAGCUAAUCAAACAUGGUAACAUAACUGCUCCCUUACUUGGCAGCUCCAGGGGCGGGGGGGGGGGGCAGUGCGAGCAGAGAGAAAAGCUGUUCUUAAACACAAGAGAUUGACUUGUGAGUAGAACAUAGGGAAUGCGAUACCCAGAUACUCGCACUAGGACUCCUGAACAGCAAUGAGGGAUGGCACACUGACACUGAACUUUGGGGAUGGUGAGGAGCAGUUCUCACCAGCUCUGCUCAGGGGACAUUUGGUUUGAUCCGAAGAUUUUGCUCUUAGAGGAAAAUAGACAGCUCUUCUGUGGCUGCAGAGACAUGGUGGUGUGAGCAGUACCAGAACAUCACCAGGCUCAUGCUGCUCUGUCUGGAGAAAGAGGAAAGAUUUCAGGGAAUACGCACAUCUAGCUGAGCCAUCUUCUGUGCAGAAAGCAAAGACGUAUUUGAGCUUCAGCCUAUUUAUUGAAUUAGAAGAACAGCAUAGGUCACACUUUCCUUCCCUCUUUAAUGUUGACUAUUUCCUGUUCAUACCUGGGAGCAACCUCCACCUCUGUGUGCUGCAGCCAGCUUGAAGUGCCCGGCUGCACCUCCUGCUGGGCCGCUGCCACUGCUCAUGCAGGGCUCCUUCAGCUCCACCUCGACGAGGGGGUUUGCCCUGCUGCUGGAAAGUCAGGCAGGAUUCUUUCCUAAGCCUUCCUGAGAGGAGAUUUUAAAAUAUUUUUUAAAAAAGGAUAAUUUGUGGAGAAAAGCAGCGUAUCCAUUUUGUGUCUGAUUCCCAGCCCUGCGUGGCUGCCUCUGACCUGGACGCUGGGUUUGAGCCGCAUCAGCCUCCCAGCAUGUUCAUGGGAUCCAGGAGGGGUGCACAAUUAUUACCCAAAAUAAAUUAAUUAUCGAGGCCCUCUCAGGCCACAGGGCCCAUUACUGCAACACACACAGCUGCUUACAGAGCUGUAGCAGUGGGCACGCUGUUAGAGCCAACAACUGGUGAGCUCCCGGUCUGCUGUAAGCCCACCCUCCAUCGCUGGGCAUUCAACUUGGAAACGAAUGACUUGGCCUUUCAGCAGAAACCGGCGGAUUCACGUGAGCACAGAGCUCUUAGGAGCAGCGUGGGGUUUGCUGAUACUCUCACGAGACGGAAAAAAAAGAGCGGCAGGCUUCCAAAUAAACCGAUUUUUCAUGUAAAAGCCCUGGAACAAUGAGUCUUGAACAUGCAUACAUAAAUAACUGGCUCGGUUAGAACUUGGCUGGUGUCUUUGUAAGUGACUGCGUCCGUAUUCACGGGGCGCGGGCGGUGCCGUCGGGGCGGGGACGCGCUCGGAGCGCUCCCGCUGAGUUACGGAAGGAAGAGGUUCCCCUCUUGCGGCCGUGCGGGAGAACGGCCUCUCUCGGCACCGCGUCCUGCCCUUCUCCCGGCGCACGCAGCACUCAAUACGUGAGCGGGUUCGGUAUCUCCCGCUCGAGCAGCAGCGCUUUGCCCCGCUCCGCUGCGGCAGUGCGGAGGUUAUGUGAGAUAUGUGAGUAUUUAGGUUAUGGGAGUGAUAGAUCCAAACCAAUCCAUCAGAAACAUCUGCUUCGAACAACUGAUUUAAGGCUGCUUUGCUUUUGUGCUUUGUAAAUGCUUUCCUAGUGUUAAUUUUGGAAUACUGGAUGGAGUUUGCUUAUUCUGUCUUCUCCCCGAGGAAAGACCGUCGGGGUAAAUGUUUGGGCUGUUCUCUAAACAAAUAGCUUCUAUCCAGGCAAAGAAAAACCAGUCCACCAUAUGCAGCUUACAGGAUGGCUCAUUUCGUUUCCAACUGGUGUGAAACUGCUUUUGAAUAAAAGCCGAAAUUUAAUUUGAAAAUGACAAACGCAGCAGUUUAAAAUAAUUAGUUAAAAGCUGCCUACAAAUGCUUUGGAGCCCUGGGAAGGCAACGUGCAGCCACGCAUGUUUCACAGUCGAACUGGAUGCACUUGGUACAGAGGGAGGUUGUCCUCCGAGCUCUGAACCAGUUGCUUCUCAUCAGUGUGCGGCCAGCGCGUUUGGGCCAACAGAACUCAGGCUCUCGCACCCAGUUAUAUCUGUGAGCUGAAGGAGAAAUCAAACUUUGCUGCUUCGUCUCCUGGAUGGAUUCUCAGUGUUGAGUAACCUCACUGCACACAGCGGUGCUGACACUCAGCCGCACUGGGUUUACAUUCCCCUGUGUGAAUACUGCUCCCAGUGGGGCUCAUUUCCUUAUUUCACUGUCCAGUUUGCUGGAGAAAACUGCUUGAGUCCCUUUGCAAUAGCAGCAGCAAAGAGGUACACAGGAAAAGUGCACAUGCAUACAAAAUUUAAAGUGGGUUAUAUUAAAGUUUUAUUUCAAUAGAAGUUUUUCUCUCCGAUUUACUUUUAAAAUUUAUGUUUAAAAAAAACAUGCAAAUAUGUUAAAUAAUCUGAUAUUUAUUUAAAUCUGUUUUAUCUGCUGUAGGGAGGCUAACAUUACAGGAAAUAAUUUGAUACUGGGAUUUCAGCGGGACCCACAAGAACACAGUAAAGGGUUUGAAUUCAAGGCCAUGGUCUUGGCCAGCUGCCAAAAGGAAAUGGAGGAAAAUCAGCUCGGACAAAGGAACCCUGAAAUUACAACUGUUUUUAACACAAAUAGAAAGGAUUUAGAUCUUAGUUUUAACCCUGGUGCUAUUUUUAUAAUAUAAAGAAACUAAAAUUGGAAGUCUUUCUUUCCUGUAAUGAAAACCCAAAUCCAAACAAUUCCUUUUUGAUUUCUAAAGUGGAUUCCUCUGUUGAGGAGGACUUACGUUAUUACAACUUGCAGUGUCUCUCAUUAUAAUAUUAAUAAAUGAUCUUUAAAAUGCAGUACAUUCAGUCUAACAGUUCAAACAAUGUAGAAGAAUCAUUCCCUUUUAAUUAUUAUUCCGUGGCACUAAGCCCUGUCAUGUUCCCUGAGAUGAGCAGAGUCGCAUUUCCCUAUUCCAAAAGACCUGGGAGUGGGACAGAAAUGGAAGUGCUGUUUGUUUUAGGGCAAGAACAGGAAAAUUCACAGCGUCAGUUCUUGUACCAGAUGAGAAUAUGAAUUGGGAAUACGCUCUGUCAGUGCGCUCUGUCUGACAAUGCUCUGUGUUCUGCCUCGGGGGCUGCCAAAGAAGGCAAUAUACCGAAAAUUGAAGAGCUUUGCAGAACAAAUUUUCUGCGGUGUUUCUGGGAGCGGGAGUGGGAGAGCUUCCCCUGCGCUCCUCGCUCAGCCCUGGAUGACGCAGCCGACCAAGCUGUACUGCUGUGUCCCAUCGGGCAGCACUGUGACCACAGCGCCCUUUGGGCUUUCAUGGGCAUUUUUCUGGGGCUAAGGCCCCGAGCAGGGCAGUGCCGCCAGGAAACUGAGUGUUCCUCUUUACAAAAACAAAAGGAAUCAGAAGCAAUUGGAGCUGGAAAUAGCCCCAAAUGUACAUUACGUGUCCUCAGUCUGCAUGCGUGAUGCGCGUCCUCAGCUGUGCUGAGGGCAUCCCCUGCACCCCAGUGGGAAGCACAAAGGCCUCAGCAGUCUGGCGCCCACUGGAUCUCCUUCAAAAGUGUUUUGGGGUAAGGUGACAUAUCUGUUCCUCCAUCUUGGAAUUUUGGGCUGUGCCAUUUCCAUGAGCUAGUGGAUCCAGAAGGAACUUCCAGGCAAGUAAUACACAAGGAUGGAGGAGGUGAUGGUGGCUGCGUGAGAACCUUUAUCCUGUCCUGUCCAUCGUGUCCUAGGCCUUGCCCUUGGUGUGACCUAACAUCGCUGCUCCCAGCACACAUCAAGCCUUGGCACGAGCACCUCACCACCGAGCAGAGACCCAGAGGUGCCUGGGUCCUCAAUGAAGCUGCUGCUGGGGGUCACAGGAGGGCCCGAGGCUGAUGUGGUUUGUGGGGUUCCUAUCCCCAGCUUUGUGUUUGCCUGAAAGAGGCAAAUUGGUGCAUGCUUUUUAUCUCAUUAAUGUACAUGAAACAAGUAGGGCUUCUCCAGGUGAAAUGAGCUUCGGAAAUGCUUGCUGCUUUUCUGCUCUACAUUGAAGCAAUAAUAAUUUAUGAAUUUAAUUAGGCUCUGGUUUGUAAGAAUGAUGAAUAUUCACAUGCUGAAUAGCUGAGAAAUAUGAAAAAUGCGUGACAGCUUUAUUUGUUCCAGCUCUAAGAAUCACGGGUGAACAUCUUUUUGAAUGCGCUGAGCUUUCUGAGCAUCACUGGGGUGCUGCACUAGGAGCAGCCAAUGCACGGCUGCACCUGCACGCAGACCUGCCUGCACUGCCCUGCCCGUGAAGUCGAUUCCAAAAAUAGCAGCUGCAAAAUUGCUUCUCUCUGGGUUUUAGAGUCUCUGUGACAACUUGUUUCAUUGCCUUAUCUAAUAUCUAAGUUGUUUUACAGUACUUGUCUAUUUAGGAACUGGAUUUGUUGAAAGUGAAGUUAAUAUUUUUGUAAUGACCUCCAGCCAGUUCUCCUGCUAUUAGUAACUUUGGAAAUACUGUGUUUGAACUGGAAGGGCUUGAUAACUCCUUUUGCACUUCACCUUUAUUUUUAUACCUUUUGCUCUGGAUUCAGAUACAAUUACGUACGACAGCAGAUGAUCAGCAGUGCUGCUGUCCUUAAUAGGGUCUUUCAUUACACAUUCAAAGUCACUUACACUGCAAGGAAAAUCUGUCCUUAUUGUUUCAUCUAGUUACUUUUUCUAUUUUCCUCUGCCAGCACAAGGGUGUUGUAUUUGGUUUGCUUGUGUGGCAGUGAUCUUUACAUAUUUCCAAAAACUAAUUUCACUGUCUAAAUGAGCUGUCAGAACUAAAUUAAUACCAUCAACAGAACACUGCCCUGUUGGCAUGCUUAGCGUAUGAUAAUUUCAUUUGAAAUGCAUCUGUUGUUUUUUUCUCUCAAGAAACUGAGCAGAGACUGAAAAUACCUCAAUGGUCUAUUGCUCUAUAGGGAUUAACUUUUGCAUUGCUGGGCUUGAGGCAGAGCUCACAACAAGGUCGUGCUUCUCAUCGUGCUCCAGCACCCACCAGCGUGCCUGUCGUCAGCCAUGAUCUACAGGUCUCUGUGGCACGAUGCCUUCAGGUUCCUUUGAGCUGUACUUGAUUGCCAGGAACUGCUUUUGUAUAUACAAAGAGAAAACAAACGCUUCUGCCUGGCAGCUCACUGGCUGGGCAGCGCAGAAUCUGCAGUCUGGGAGCUAUGAGCGUAUAUUUUAUGAAUGAAAAUCAGAGCAGGCAGCCUAGAACUCAGCAUUUGUAAAUUUCAAAUGCCUUGGACUUAAAAAAAAAAAAAAAUAGAAUGAAAGCAAGGGGCCUGGGAGUUUUAUAGGAACAUAAGCACGUCUGAAGGAUGCAGCAGUGUUCUGGGUCACACAGAGAGGAGUAAGGUUACGUCUGGGAAGAGAUUUGUGGAUUGACAGCCAUGGAAAUGAUCUGUCUGCAAUUCAAAAAGGAAAAUCAUCACCCUUCCCUUUACCUGUGGCUCACUCUCAUCGCAGACAGGGCUGUGGUUCUGGGUAAGUGUAAGAAAAUGUUACAUGUUACUGGCUUUGUCCACAUUGCACCACUUUGUCUCGCCAAAGCUAUCUCCUCACACUGCAGCAGCCUGACUUUGGUGUGCUGGGAGAGCUGCAGCAGCAUCCCCAUGAGAACUCUGCUCCUCCACUGACAAGCAGGCGUGGGAGCAAGCCCUUUGCACGGCAAAGGUUGGUUUAUACAGUUUCAAGAUGGAGCAAGAUGCCUCCUCCAAAAAUGCUGAGCAAUGAAUAGCAUGAUAGAUUGGGCAGAUUGUGUUGGCACAGAGCCCUGAGCUGUGCAGGUGCCACUUGGCCAGUUGGUGUCUGCGAAAGGUCCCGUCUGGUCGGGAGAAUUCUUCACCUGUAACUGGAUCACACAGACGAAGUGAGAGCAUGAGGAAGUUAUAAUCUCCCUGCCAUGGGCUGGGGAAUGGAAGGCAGUUCCUGGCUGAAGUCACACAAUGGAUGUGUGGGUGCCAGAUGUCCCUGACAGAGACAGGAGCUGAACGCAGACCUGAGUGCCAGCCCAGCACACAGCGUUCAUCGUUAUCCAUUCUCUCAAAAAGAAAAAUCAAAGAAGGCUUUCUGAUUGAUUCAGUAGUUCAAAAGUUUCAGCUGCCAUAAAAUGAUGCUUCAGAGAAUCCUACAAGCUUACUAGUGGGAAAGACCUCCUCUAUGAAUGAAUGAGUGUAGCCUUCUGCAGGGUAACAAUAAUCGGAGUGACUUCUCAGAAGUGGAUGUUGAAGCACAUGUCUGAAUUGACUUCCAGUAACACCUGAAAAGUCUGUGGUAGAAGAAAUAAUUCUGAUUCCUCUCUGUACCGUGAUGAUUUUCAGGUAUCAUCCCUUAAAAUUUUCUUCUUUAGUUUUCUUCCAUUCUUCAGUGCUGCAGCAGAAGUGCUAAGUCACGACCCGAAGCA
Molecule: long non-coding RNA, 8319 nt
Organism: Numida meleagris (helmeted guineafowl)
Lineage: Eukaryota; Metazoa; Chordata; Aves; Galliformes; Numididae
Exons: 3
Source: RefSeq, a predicted model, not a curated record